UAGAGUUUGAUCCUGGCUCAGAACGAACGCUGGCGGCGUGGCUAAGGCAUGCAAGUCGAACGGACUUCGCCCUUCGGGGCGAAAGUUAGUGGCGAACUGGUGAGGAAUACAUGGAUAACGUACCCCGGACACGAGGAUAGUCAGUCGAAAGGCUGAGUAAUACUCGAUAACCCCGCGGAGUCGCAUGGCUCUGCGGGCAAAUGCUCCGACGGUCCGGGAUCGGUCCAUGUCCUAUCAGCUUGUUGGUGAGGUAACGGCUCACCAAGGCAACAACGGGUAGCGGGCGUGAGAGCGCGUUCCGCCACAUCGGAACUGAGACACUGUCCGGACACCUACGGGUGGCUGCAGCAACGAAUAUUCCCCAAUGGACGCAAGUCUGAGGGAGCGACGCCGCGUGCAGGAGGAAGUCCUUCGGGAUGUAAACUGCUGUCAGGGGUUAGGAAUCAAUGACCAGCCCCAAAGGAAGCACCGGCUAACUCCGUGCCAGCAGCCGCGGUAAUACGGAGGGUGCAAGCGUUGUUCGGAAUUACUGGGCUUAAAGCGCGUGCAGGCGGAAUAUCAGGUGUCUUGUGAAAUCCCCGGGCUCAACCCGGGAACUGCUGGGCAAACCGGUAUUCUUGAGGCAAGUAGAGGUGACUGGAACAACUGGUGGAGCGGCGAAAUGCGUAGAUAUCAGUUGGAACGCCGGAGGCGAAAGCGGGUCACUGGGCUUGUUCUGACGCUCAGACGCGAAAGCGUGGGUAGCAAACAGGAUUAGAUACCCUGGUAGUCCACGCCGUAAACGAUGCGCACUAGGUAUGAGAGGUUCUGACGCCGAUCGUGCCGAAGCAAAAGUGGUAAGUGCGCCGCCUGGGGAGUACGGCCGCAAGGCUAAAACUCAAAGGAAUUGACGGGGGCUCACACAAGCGGUGGAGGAUGUGGAUUAAUUCGAAGCAACGCGAAGAACCUUACCUGGGUUUGCAUACUUGGAUGCUCUCCUGGAAACAGGAGCAGGCUGCCUUCGGGUGAAACUUGAACAGGUGCUGCAUGGCUGUCGUCAGCUCGUGCUGUGAAGUGUCGGGUUAAGUCCCUUAACGAGCGAAACCCCUAUCGUUAGUUGCCAGCGGGUAAAGCCGGGGACUCUAGCGAGACCGCCGGUGUCAAACCGGAGGAAGGUGGGGACGACGUCAAGUCAUCAUGGCCCUUAUGCCCAGGGAUUCUCACGUCCUACAAUGGUCGGUACAGAGCGAUGCGAGACCGCGAGGUGGAACAAAUCGCACAAAGCCGGCCCCAGUUCGGAUUGAAGUCUGCAACUCGACUUCAUGAAGGUGGAAUCGCUAGUAAUCGCGGAUCAGCUACGCCGCGGUGAAUGUGUUCCUGAGCCUUGUACACACCGCCCGUCAAGUCAUGGAAGCUGGGAGUACCCGAAGUCCGUUUAGCUAACCCGUAAGGGAGGCGGCGGCCGACGGUAAAUCCGGUGACUGGGACUAAGUCGUAACAAGGUAACC
This 1487-nucleotide ribosomal RNA is filed under the name uncultured Planctomycetales bacterium. RNAcentral's name for it is "bacterial SSU rRNA". It matches the Rfam family "Bacterial small subunit ribosomal RNA". The record is from RNAcentral. Lineage: Bacteria; Pseudomonadati; Planctomycetota; Planctomycetia; Planctomycetales.